RNAcentral lists this ribosomal RNA (253 nucleotides) under uncultured bacterium. RNAcentral describes it as "partial 16S ribosomal RNA". It matches the Rfam family "Bacterial small subunit ribosomal RNA", at positions 524 to 776 of the family's 1533-position model. The record is from RNAcentral.
UACGGAGGGUGCGAGCAUUAAUCGGAUUUAUUGGGCGUAAAGGGCGCGUAGGCGGAUUGGAAAGUCAGAUGUGAAAUCCCGGGGCUUAACCUCGGAACUGCAUUUGAAACUUCCGAUCUAGAGGAUAGAUGGAGAAAAUGGAAUUCCACAAGUAGCGGUGAAAUGCGUAGAUAUGUGGAAGAACACCAGUGGCGAAGGCGAUUUUCUAAUUUAGACCUGACGCUGAUGCGCGAAAGCUAGGGGAGCAAACAGG